AACGCGAAGAACCUUACCUACUCUUGAAUCCACGGAAUUCUGCAGAAAUGCGGAGGUGCCUUCGGGAACCGUGAGACAGGUGCUGCAUGGCUGUCGUCAGCUCGUGUCGUGAGAUGUUGGGUUAAGUCCCGUAACGAGCGCAACCCUUGUCCUUAGUUACUAACGGGUAAAGCCGAGGACUCUAAGGAGACCGCCGGUGAUAAACCGGAGGAAGGUGGGGACGAUGUCAAGUCAUCAUGGCCCUUACGAGUAGGGCUACACACGUGCUACAAUGGUUGGUACAAAGGGCAGCGAAGUCGCGAGAUGGAGCAAAUCCUAUAAAGCCGAUCGUAGUCCGGAUUGGAGUCUGCAACUCGACUCCAUGAAGCUGGAAUCGCUAGUAAUCGUGGAUCAGAACGCCACGGUGAAUACGUUCCCGGGCCUUGUACACACCGCUGUA
This 439-nucleotide ribosomal RNA is filed under the name uncultured bacterium. Its description in RNAcentral is "bacterial SSU rRNA". It matches the Rfam family "Bacterial small subunit ribosomal RNA", at positions 958 to 1398 of the family's 1533-position model. The record is from RNAcentral.